Molecule: ribosomal RNA, 375 nt
Filed under: Todarodes pacificus (Japanese flying squid)
Lineage: Eukaryota; Metazoa; Mollusca; Cephalopoda; Oegopsida; Ommastrephidae
Description: partial 28S ribosomal RNA
Source: RNAcentral
UCGGGUGGGUUGCCGAUGCACGUCGCUGACCCGAAGUGGCGGGCGGCAUAGAAAAGCGGCGCCGAGCAACGACGCCGACGUGACCCGACGAAAGGAACCCGGUUAAGGGAACCGAACGGCAAGGGAAGCCGGCGAGGUGCAAAUCGACGCGGCCGCGCCGGUUCCGAGCUCCCGCAAACUCUUUCUCGCGCGCGCCCGAGACGGUGGGGCGAAGGUAAGUUUCGCGCGAGACGUCCGACGGGAUAGAACCGGCUCGCCACGUGUGUGGAUCACGCAUUGUUCCUCCGUCCCCGGCAGAAAGGGGCAUGACUUGCGCGGGCCCGACAGAAGACGACCGCACCUGAGGAACGCUCCACAGUUCACUUCAUACGAAAC